AGGAAUGGGUGCUGUUUUUAGAGAAGUUCCAGGAACUGCUGUACCCAGCAUUUGCCAAGCGGAAAUCCGUGACCCUCGGACAGAGGCAGAGACAGAGGCUUGGUACUUCAUGCCAGUUUUGAUACUGAGUUACUACUAAUAUGUUGGUAUGAGCAAGGACUGUGGAUGAAGUAGUUACAGUACUAAUAUGUUGGUAUGAGCAAGGACUGUGGAUGAAGUAUAAUCUUUGCAAGUUUGUUGGAAUGAGAGAGCUUGUAGGAUAGGUUUGGCUUAUGUUUUUUUUUUCCUCCUGGGAUGAUGGGCUGCUGUAGUUGGCAGCAACAGUAGGUUCAAAGAGGUGUAAAUAUUCUUGGAGGCAGCUAAACAAAAGCUGAGUAGCAUUUGUUAUAUUUCUUUUAUAAAUUUUUUGCUUUGAUUUUUUUUUUUUUUUUUUUAUCUCACUCCUGAUGGACUUGUUUGAUAAAUAAUAUGUAGAAUGAAAUCAUGAGAGGAGAUGGUGUAAAUGUUAAAAACUUGUGUUGUUUAGACUUGUCUCCAAUUGAUUAUUUGUCCAGUUGUAUCGGGUGUGUGAUUGAGAUAUGGGUCCAAGCAUGUUCAGAUACUACAUUUUGUAGCAAUCAAACAUUACACAAAUGAGAGAAAUUGGGACAUACCCAUCAAUGUUUGGCUGAAUUAGUCUCAAGUAUGGUUAUUGUUUGAUGACGGAUUAUUAACCUCAAGUCUUCUUGUGGUUUGCAUUUUGUUCUAAUGGGUGGCUUUCAGAAAUAUGCUCUGCAUGUGUUUCACGAAAUCCCCUCCACACAAUGGGCAAGUUUGUAUCGUGGAGGGGGAUACAGCCAUGUAUCGUGGGUUAGUGACGAGUGAUGGUGUGGGGUUAUAGUUUAUAAUCCCUGUAAUUUUUUGGCUUAUUUUUUAUUUUUUAAAAUAGAAAAUAUUUGUAAUUUUUUAUAUAAAAUAGAAAAACUUUUAUAAACAUGAUGUGAUAGUAAAUCUGAUUUUUAAAUAAUUUUUAAGAUGGAAAAUAAGUUUAUGUUUUUUAAAAAGACUUUAUUUGAGGUUUCAACUAAAUAUAUUUAAUCUUUAUAAGUUUAAAAUUUUGAGUUAUGGUUUUGUUUCCUGGACCCGAAUUGGGCUUAAAGGAAAUGAGGCUUGCGUUGGAUUUGUUUGGAUUGGGACAGGUUCAUGUGAACUUUCAAAUGCCUGCGAACUACCUCUUCUCUCAUGCAUAAAAAGAGGCUUGAAUAGGCAAAAAUAUCUGGUCUCUGAUUCAAUGCCUCAUAUCCAGCUGUCAACUGCACAUUAUAAUAUGUUGUUGUUCUAGUUUCAUCUAAGAAAGACAAAGACAUGAACCACUGUGACGGUUGUGGGAGGCCAUUAAUUCAAUUGAGUAUUGAAGUGAAAGGAUUAGAAGGACAUUCGGUCGAUGCUGACAUCCUAAGCAACAAAAGAUUUUCGCUACCAACAAAAUGCAACCUCUCAUGAUUAGGUCCCACCAACAAUAUCUCUCUAAUCAAAUUCAAGUAUGCCAUAUCGUCUUGUUGGCCUCAAUGAUUUGCUUUCAUUCAUUUCCCCAGGCCAAAGCUGCCAACACAGCCACGCCUUCCACAGUUUUAUGCCAUUUGAUUUCAGUGAAGCUCAUGGUUUUCCAUGCUAUUUCCGGAAAAUUGCAGACGUCGUGAAAUCAGGCAGGCCAUGGCUUUGCAUGCUAUUUCUGGAGAACUGAAGACUUGGUGGAUUGAUAAGGAAAUUCGGAGAACAGGGUGGAGGUCCCACCUUUUCCUUUGUUCCUAGACAUAUGAUAUGACCAAAGAUUUAACAGUCUUACACAUUCCAACAGUUGCAUAUGAUGAGAAUAAUUAGCUAGGACUUAGCUGCUAGUUUGGUAAAAGGUCUGUUUUCCUCAGAAAUGGAGACAAGUGGGUGCAGAGAAAGCGUGGAGUGAGCAGUAAUGGUUGUGUGAGAGUGAACCGGUGGCAUAGACUUUUCAAUGUUACUAGUCUUGAUAGAUGAAGCUGGGUUGGGGGACUGCGCUAAUGGUCGCCAUCAGUGGUGGGCGGUUUUGUCUUUGUUAUUAACCAAGGAAAUCAUAUUUACGUGUACUUGACAAGUCAUCUGAAAGGGGAUAAACAUGGAAGUUUGGUGGAGGUCAUCAUCAACUAUAAUCAUUUUAAAGCCGACGAGGCUUGUUCCUCUAUGAUCCUUAGACAGUUCGUUUGAACUGACUGCAAAUAAUUAACAUAAUGGAACUCACAACUUACUGCUAUGUACGGCAUCGAACGUUGCAGCCUGUUCUCAAAUUGCCCCACCUUUGUUUUUUUGGGUGCUUCCUAGCUACUUGCUUAGGAGUGGGUACUCAUGGAUGUUCCUUUUUUCCACUUGCAUGUCCAUAUAUUCCCUAAUAAUGUCUCGGAAGAAUAUAUAGUUCAGGGUUAUAUUAAUUUAUCAUCUCAGAACCGUCUCAAAAGCUAGCUUUAUGAACUUAUAUCUUAUCUUAUCUAGUUAUUAUAUUGUGAGUAAUGAUUUUGAAAUAAGCUGUUUUAGUUAUCCGUGCUCCCACUAAAGAGAAACUGCAAGAUCUUGAAUGGAAAACAAGGAAGAAAGCAGGAAAGGGUAGAUGAGAAAAGGAAAAGCAAAAUUCAAGAUAAAGGCGAACCUAGUAAAGAAAAGAUACGUGCAGAAGAAGAAUUCUGGUAUGGACGGAGGUGAAUAACCCAGCAUGAAAGUAAGAGAAGAAUUGCCCGUGAAAAAAGAAAAUAGAAAAGGAAUAGCAACUAUCAUAGUAACAGUGAGUGAAGUCUUAGCUGUCGCCCAGUCCAUCAGUAAGGGGCCACCAUGGCAGUGUUACUCAAGUAUGCAUCAGUUUUUGCUUCCUUACAUCCCAUUCUAGGUGUACAACGUCUAUGUUUCUUAGUUUUAGAUGGGCAGCAGCACUGGUUAUGGAUUGAGCAGUCAUGGAUAUAUAUAUAUGUGUGUGUGUGUAUAAGGUUUCAUUAUCUCUAUCGACUAUAUAUGCUGAAUAUUAACAGAAGAAACAACUGAAAUAAAGCUUUAUAUUCCAUCUCUGUCUUCUCCAGGAUGAUCUCCCAUAUAUCAAUGACGUCCUUGAGACGUACAACGUCGAUUGAAUAGGUUUUAAUAUCAUGUCUCUAGGAAACGGCUAAUUGGUCUGAUUCUAACUUUGAUCAAAGUGGGUAAUAUAGACUUGUUGGGAAGCUACUAACCCAUGCCUGAUCCUGUAUAUCAAAAGAUGAAGCCCCUGAUCUUAUAAGUUAUAACCAAGAGUCACCUGGGAAGCCCUUUUGUUUGGGCCUUCAAGGGCCUAUAGGCCACAAGGCCCCAUCUCGGCGUCUCCAUUCCAUGUCUUUUUACGACCUGCACAAUUGUCCACUAUGGCCUUUCAAGCAUUUGGAAAUUGAAAGGACACGAUGUCUGUAUCCUUCCUAUAGAGGAGUAGUUUCUUUAUUCCUUUCUACUAACCUGGAUUCCAGUUGAAAAUGGCAAGAUCCGAUAAUAUAAUCUAUCCCAUAUGAUAAUAUAAUCAAUCAAGCAUAGGGAUUAUAACUAAUAAUGGGAUAAUUUAUUCAAUAUUUUCCCCCUCUGCAUGACACAUAUUGAUAAUCAUAAGUUGAUAGGAUUAUAAAUUUAUUCCUCUCCUCUACUUUAUUUAUUUAUUUAUUUAUUUUUUAAUAUCACUAUUUGAAAAUAAAUAAAUAAUAAUGAAAUUAACAUUUUAAUUCAAAAAACAAAAGAAUUUAAAAAUAUUUGUGUAAUACAACCUAAAAUAAGACUAAUAUAUAGUAUGAUUUAAUAUAUAAUAAUACUUUUAUAUAUUUGACAAUAUAAAUUAUAUUUUUAUUUAUAAAUUUUAAAUAUUUUAAGUUAUUAAUAAAGUAAAAAAAUAUUUAUUAAAUUAUUAAUUAUAAAAUAAUUUAAAGACAAUACUAAAUAUGAGAGAUAUUAUAUAUAUAUAGCUAAUCAAUCUCUUUGACAAGCAAAAGCAAGAAUGGAAGCUAGGAUGAACACUCUCCUAACAAGGUGGUCAAUCCAAUUUGUGUACAAACAAGUCAACAUUUCCCAACCAACAUUAAUAAGGUAUUUAAACUACUCAAAAACACAUUUAAUUUUAAAUAUUUCUUAAAAUCAAAACCAAAUUUGAAAUUAUUUCACACUAUUCCACUAAGUGAUCCAAUUGCAACCCAUUUCUUCAAUCAACAGAUAUGUUAAAUGAAUGGAAAUUUCAUAAGCUAAGAUAAGAAAAUGGAAAAAUGAGAUAGAAAUGAAGAGAUACAAUAGCACCAAGAUUUAGCAUGGAAAACAUUCAAGCAGAUAAAAAAACUACAAAUCUAUAGGCAAUAAAAAACCUCUACCAUGAAAAAAAAAUUAACUGAGGUACAAAGAUCUAUGAAGCCUAAGUCUUUAAUCCUCUCUUGGAUCACUUGCUUGGUACUUGUAAACUGCAGCUACUCACUUUUUUCUUUUGAAACAUAUUUAGAGUCCAUGCUAAGCUUGACUUUGGCCUCUUUUUGAAUCCACAUAAGAAUUUUUUUUGGAUUUUAUCAUAAAUAUGACAAAUAUAAGGGUAGGUAAACCUAUAUUCAAUUAACUCAUUUUGAAAGAAGUUCUCUCUCUUAAAAUAUGAUUUUCAGCUUAAAACCCAUAAAAUUUUAUUUCAAACAAAACAGCUCUAAAUUAGGUAAAUGACUUGAAUCUUUAGGGCCAAAAGCCACUUAGCUCUCUCGAUCGUGAAACAUUUUUCUAGAAAUAUGGCUUAAAUACUAAGAUUUUAAACUUCAUCAACUCUGAUAUGUUUGAAAAAAAAAAGGAAGAUUUAUCAUAUGUGAUUGAAUCCUUAUUGAUCAGACGAGAUUGUAGAAUUUUUGAUAUCAUAGAAACUAUUACCCUUUGGUGUGAUUGAUCAACAAUUGACCUAAGGAUUUUAAACCUAAAUUUUUACACCCUUAGUGUAUAAAAAUGAAAGUUUAAAACUUAGUUGAUUAAUGUUUCAUAUCAUCCAUCAUUGAAAAAAAGCUUACAGUCAUGUUUAGCAAUCUUUCAUCAUGAUCUAUUUGGAAUGAUAAAAGUCCAAAUAAUGAUUUGAAGCAAUUGAAUUUGGAGAACACAAUGAGAAUUUUUAUCCAAAAUUGCCAAUACACAAAGACAUUUAUAGUUUCAUUAGAUAUAAUAUUAAAUGAAAUUAAUCUCAUAAAAAAACAAUUAGAAAUAAUAUAUUAGGAUAUAGAUUUCUCAUCAUAUUUAGUUCACUAAUAUAACGUUGAAGUUUCUCUUGCCAAUGCUUCAAGUCCGUGUUUGAUGGUGCUCAACACUUUUAUUUGUUUCAAUAAAAAGAGCCCACUAUCAGUUUUAUCUGGACUUUUGUUGUGGCAUGUUCACAAUAGUCAUGGGCUUAGCCUGUCAACCCAUGUUGCUCAUUUACUUCAGAUUUCUAAUGUUAAUUAUUGGUCUUGUUACAAUAUUAACACCAAGGAUUACAACUCUCCUCUCUUCUCCACAUAUUUAAAAGCAACCAUGAGAAAAAUUUAAUCAACAAUUUUCAAUUAUCAAUCCUCUUAAAAAAGAAAAGAAUGAUUCUUAUAUUAUGGUUCACACUUGGUUUGGUUCAAUCACUCAAACUCAAAUCUUGGUUAGUAUUUAUGAUGAUCCACACCAAUUUUGUAGAUAAUUUUAAACCCAAAGGGACCCUUACAACUUUAAAAUGUGUUUAUAUGAUUAAGAAGAACCCGUACUUAUAUAAUGUCAACCCAUACUUAUAUAAUGUAUGAAACUUUUUCUCAUAUCUAAUUUGUGAUAUCAUAAUCAUCUCUUCCCCCCCAUAUACGGAUGUGAGAUAUCACAAUCACCCUCUCAUGCAGAUGCAACAUAUUUGUUGUGUUCCAUGGGAUUGCAAGGCUAAAUAAACAAACACUCUCAUAUGGUCAAACAAACUUCUAUAUUGGGGCCGGGGAUCAACUUUAAUAUCAUUUUUAAUAAUCUGAACUCAAUUCUAUAAAUAUUAUUCUCUCUGAACCCAAAAGCACCUUCAUGACUUUAAAAUAUGUCUAUAAAGUUAAAAAAAGUCUAUACUUAUAUAAUGCCCUAACACUAAGAACUUUCUCCUCCAUUUGAAUAGAUUAGAGCUUGACUUGGGUUAAAAAGUAUCAAUAUAUAGAUAUUAUGAUUGCCAAUGGUUAAAAAUACAUAUAAUUAUGACAUCCCACAUCAUAUACGAGAAAAAGUUUUUGAUAUUAUAUUUAUAUAAGUUUCUUUUAAUUAUGUAGAUACUUUUUUAAAUAAUAAAGAUUCUUUUUAGGUCUAGAAAAGAUAAUGCUUACAUGGUAGGAAGUGAAUUUUUUUAUUUUUAAUCAUAUUAAAUUAAUGGGUUUAUCAAGAGUUAACAUUUAUAUUAAAUUAAUAACUAAUGAUAUAUUUUUCGAAUUUGAGAUAUAUUUAACAUUUACUUUCUGACUUUUAGACUCUGCAAAUAUGAAUUGCCUUAGCUGUGUGGAUUGGGAAUUUCAAAUCCAAGCUCUAGUUAAGUUUGGUGCGCUCAUAAAUGUUAAAUUUAAUUUGUGCUACGUGAAAUCGAGAGGAGUUUAUGGGCUUGCAUGGAAGCCUAUUGGAUACACGAGUCUGCGUCCAUUGAAUUGGUCCAAGAAGAUAUCGACCAGGAUUGUAGAGUAGAGAACACUAGAAUGAUAAGAAAACGAGACCAGAUAGAGCAACAAUUAGAAUCUCCAGACUCCUCUUUUGUAAUCAAUGAGAACAUGAACAAACCAGAGUAGUGAUGAGGGAAACACAAAAACAGAAACAGUACAAAUUGCCAAUUGCAUACAUGAGAAACACAAAAAUUCGAAAAAAUGGGUUGAGCUCAAAACUGUAAAUGAUUGGGAGUUUCUUCACCAUCAUCACCUCCUUUAUCAUCCUCAUCAUAGAGUAUUUGACAACACCUACCCAAAUUAGUCACAAUGCUUCUACUUUGAUUGCAAGUAGCAUACUGUAUCCCCAAAACCUGAUAGCUUCCCCUCUUCCUAUUACCAAUUCGGGAGAGGAGAGUUUCUUAUUGGUUUAGUACAAGACGUUGAUGUUUAUGUCAGGUAUUGCGUCCAUGUAUGGUCUGUGUGCAAGGUUUAAACAUUCCCUAUAUCUAAAACAGUCAAUAAGAUGAUCGUUGGUCAUCCCUGCAGCUUGCAUGAAUGAGUAAACAAUCACCGGCCCCACUAGCCUGAAUCCUCGCUUGAUUAAGUCUCUGCUGAUGGCUUCUGAUUUUGGGGUCCUUAGAGGCACACUUCUCGGGUAUCGGCAUCUGAUGAUCAUCGGUUUGUGAUUCACAUAGCCCCAGAUAUAGCUGCUGAAUGAUCCGAAUUGCCUUACAAUCUACAUGUGCGUCAAAAUGUGGUACAAUAAGCAACCAAGGCCCAAAAUUAAUAUAUGGGAAGAAGACUACGUAUUUGUUUCUCAAAUUGACUUGCCUUUUGUAUGCAUUUUGCAUUGUCUACUAUGCACCUCACUCUGCUCUCCGCUAACAUGAGUGCUUUGUUGGAGGCUGUCUCCGUGAUCUCUUUCUCCCCCAUUUGGGCAACGGUGUUAGGAUCGAACCCGGAAAAUGCAUCUCUUUUAGUAUUUGAUCAACCAAUACACACGAUCAAUUUCAAAAAAAUGGAUGAUUGAAUCGAAGGAUUGAUGAAAUUAAGAAAAAUUUAGUUACCUCAGUAGUUCCUUUCUUUUUAGAAUUUCAGUCCAGUUGUAGUCCAUCAACAUACCAGACAUGGCCAGCAGCUCAAACAAUUGACUGUCAUUCAUAACUUGCAAGUUAGAAUUGGAAUUACAUCUGGUAAUCAACUGAGAGAACUGAAUAAAGAUCACAGGUGACUUACUUGUCUUCAUAAACUGGAACCCCCCAGCACUCAUCGUGGAAUUGUACAUAAACUUUAUCUGAUUGGAACCUCAUGUCAGUCUUCAAAUUCCAUUACCUUUUCUUUUUUUUAAAUUGCAUAAAUUAUACUUCUAGGCAGAAAUUCCAUAUUGCACUACAGUAUAAUGAUUUCCAUUUCUAAGUUGGAAUCAAUUUAAUACACUUGAGAGUUGGUAUAGAGUUGCCAUUACUUUCUUUGGUUCAAAAGCAGCAGAACAGUUGUAACUGCCACAUAGUAUCAAUGAUUGGUGAGGUGAUUUAAGGAAGCCUGCCAUUAUUUAAUUCAUGUUUCUGGAAAGCCAACCACUACACUUCAGAUAUUUGGCCAGUUUCUUCAAAGAAGUCUGGGUAGAUAUACUGUAGAUGGAAUCCAUAAUUUCAACUCCUGAACCCUUCUGACUCUAGAAAGGGAGAUUAUCUUGAUGAACUUGAAUUCAGAUUAAGUUUGUUCUUACAUGCCAAGAAAUGUCACACUAUUCCAAAUGCAGCAGCCAAUUAAACUAAAACAGAUGUUGGAACAUACCACUAUUCUUUGUAAUCCAGUUGCACCUCUUCAAUUCCCCAUCUCCAACAUCCGGACUAGGUUGUUGCGGGACGUUAGUAAUAGCCACUGGGACUUCUCUUCUUUCAGGUGGUCCUAUCAGGCGGAGGGAUAGAGCAAUCUGCCGAUCCAGUGGAGUAAUAUAAUCCUUAAGAGAAGAAUCGUUGGAGUUCUGUGACAGAGACAACGAUAAUGAUGAUAAGGACAGGGAUGAAGUGCUUUUCUGAAGGCUAAGAGGGUAGAUUUUCCUGAGGUUUCUGGAUAGGAAGCCUUGGUUUGGCUUCUCUUGUUCUUUAAUGCUUCUAUUCUUCUCCAGAAAAAGUCUUCUCACAUUUCCUUUAGACAUGGUUUGAGAGAAGAAAAGAGAGUUUGGUCUUAAAUGGGGUAGAUGUAAAGGUGGGUUGAGAUUUAUAAAGCUUGGGGAUUCCCAUAUUGAGAGUAGAUAAAAAGGAACACUAGGAACACUACCUAAGUUGGUUGGUGAAAUGUGAAUUUCAUCAUAGAUCGCUGUUUGCUAGCUCCUUAGUUUUUAAGCAAGCUCAUAAGAAAAUGGAUUUAACAAUCGCUUUUUUUUCAUUCUUUUUGCUUAAAAAAUAUGCCUACGAAUGUGUAGGACAUUGAAUCAGACAACAAAGUGGAGGAUAUACUCUAGCUAAAGAUGGAAAAUAUAUUGACAUAUAUUUAAAAACAUAUAGAUAUUAAAUUAAUUUAUGAUCGGUGUGGGAAUAUGGUGAAGAGAUAGUGGUUGGGUCCAAGUGAUUUGUUGUGUAUAUCCUGAUAGAUGUAGUACAAAAAGACAAGAAAGAAACAAUCUAAUUAUGAUAUGGAUGGAUGGAACCAUUUGACUUGCCCAAUUAUUCUGAAUAGGAAGCAUAUUAGGACAGAUGAUGAGGGUUUAUUUAUACAUGUAUAUAUGUAUAUCUGACAUGUUUAGUAUUUGACCCCUUAGGGAUGCUUACAAUAUUCAAAAUGGUUUAACCUACAUAUAGUUAUGCUCAUCUAGGUGAAUGAUGGAGUGGGUUGAUUGGCCUGUCCCUACACUGUUAAGCCAAUGAUCAGAAUUUGAAUCAGAAAGCAUCAUAACGACUACCUUGUUUUCUAGUUAAUGCCACUGAAAUAUAUAUAUAUAUAUAUAUAUAUAUAUAUAUAUAUAUAUAUAAUGCUUCUGCUUUCUAUAUAUUCAAAUUUGCACUAAUGAUUUGGUUGCAGUUUUAUCUUAUUGCAUUUUUAGUUGGGGGGAGACCACCAAAUAGCAGGAAACUCAAUCAAUUAGCACUUUUAGUUGCAGCGUUUGUCUCAGUGCAAGUGUAAUGGGUCCGUUUUAAACUUAAGUCCUACUCAUAUGCCCUGAGGGAUUGAGGCAUACCUGUUGCCAGAAUGGACAAAGAUAUGCCAUCCAUCAUCCUUCCUAGUCUCUCAACAGUCUGGGGUUUGUUAUGCUCAAAUGGGCCAAGAGAUUGCCGACCAUGCUCAUUAAGCUCAGUCCUAUUCCCAUCUGUUCAAAAAGACACUACUAUUGUGAAUCAAUGACUAAAGGCUCAUUCAGUAACUUGGCUUCUCGAUCCCCUUCAUAUAAUUUUUGGUUUGGUAGUUUUAUUUGUAAAUUGAGUCCUUGACAUGUGACAGAUAAGGGAGGAUACAUGCCAUUGAUGUUAGUCCUAAUGAUUCAAAUUCUUUCUGAUUUGAUUUUUGAGCGGCCUCCUUUGUGAAUAUGUUGGAAUGUUCAUAACUUCCAUCAUGGGGUUAAUCACAAGUACUUUCCAUUCUGUUUAAAAAUAUGGAAUAGGAUUUGGUGACUUCAUAAUCAAAGUUAAUGGACCAAAUGGUGAAACAUUUCAAUGAUUGGAUUUUUAAAUGGGAAAAGUGGGUUUCAACUCUGAAAAGAUAUGGGAAAAGAAAUAUGAAUGUUUAUAAUUCGGUUUUAUCUUCAUCAAUUUAAAAAUAUUUUAAAAUAUAUGCAUUUUUUUAUAAGUCACAAUGAUUUCUUGAAUACCCUUUUACUUUAUAAUGUUAACUAAAAUUAAAAAAAAAAAAAAUCAAUUUAUCAGUUUAAUUUGAUAAUAAUAUCUUACAAAUAAAUAUAUUAUAAAUUUUUUUAAUUAAAUAACAAGAUAUACAAAUCAUUGUGGAAAAUUUCUCUAGGAUCCUCAAGUGAUAAAUAAAAUAUUUUUAAUACUCUAAUUAAUAAUAAUUUUAUAUUCUUUAUUAUAUAAAUCCACUCAUCUUCUCGUCCUUUAAAAAAAAAAAAAAAUUGAAUAAAAAUUUUGUUAGUUGACAUCAACAAUAAAAUAAGAAAUUUUAAAAAUUAAAAAUAUAAUUCAAAUUAAAAUGCUUAAAAAAAUAUAUAUAUUGAUUCUCAUUAUAUUUCAAACUUUUUCUCGAUAUUUAUAUUUUCUACUAGGGAAAUGAAAAUUAACAUUUUAUUUUUAUAUUUUUAGCUUUAAAAUUUUUCUUUUUUAGUUUUAAUUGUAUCUUUAAUUUUUAAAAUUUCUUAUGUUAUUGAUAUCAAAUCAAUUCUGACGGUAAAAAAAAAUUGUCAAUUGGUAUUAUUAACCUGACAAGUAAAAUGGUCAUUUUAGAAAAUAAUUAUUUGAUUUAUGAAAAAGUACAUGUAUUUUAAAAUAUUUUUAAACAUACAAAGAUAAAUCUAGCUAAUUUAUAAAAUUUGAGGUUUUUUCUUUCUUUCUUUUUAAAUUAGUGAGUCAAAACCCACUUUUUCCUUUUUAGAUGUUCAAAAAAUGAAUUAAGACCCAAUUUUAAUAAAUAGUAAACAUAAGACACUUAGGUAUAUUUGAUAGAUCAAUCUUUGUUUCCUAAUUGAUCAUUAUAUAUAUAUAUAAGCAUCCAUACUACAACAAAAUCGAGCUCCAAGAUAGAACCUACUUAGAAUAUCUUUGAACAAAGUAACAAUCUAUUUGAACUUUAUUAUUGAGCCUAAUUCCCUAACUAAGAAUGGUUGAUCACUACUUAUUCAAUGAAUAAAUAUAAUGAUCCAAAAUAUUUCUUCAUCCUUUGGUCAAAAUAAGCAUCAAUGGGAGUUUGAAAGAAGAAUAUGUUAGGUUUAUGUUAAUCUAACGUAAGGUAUUGAUCUAAGAGUGAACAUGUAGGGGGAGGUUGGAGGGCGGUGGUGAAACCAACAUUUUACUUCAGAGAGGGGGGGAGGGGAAACCUUUAUUUGUAAAUACAAGUAAUAUUUAAUAAAUUAAAAGUACAAAAAAGUUAUAUUAAUUGAUAACAUUUCAAUUGAAUAUAUUUUACAACUGACCUCGACAAAUUUUAUAUUUUGAAAGUGUUGCAUAAUAGUUUCAUUGUCAAUGUUAUCAAAUGUAUCUUUCUCUAUAUAUACAAGUAAGUGAUCAUUCAUCCAUUGAUCUCCUAUUCGAUUUUGUAGUCGAUUCUUCAGAAUAUUCAUAGUAAAAAAUGUUCUUUCCAUGGUUGUAAUGGCAACAAGUAGGAUUAUAGCUAAUGUAACAAGUAAAUAAAUUAGUGGAUAUGCAGUGUGCUUUUUUGUCUUACCAUGACUUUGUAAUAUUUCGGGUUGUCAUCCUCUAGGAUUAACUCUAAUGUGUUUAUUUGUUUUUAGAUGAAAAUGACUAAUUAUUUGCUAAAUAUACUAAUCCUAAAUUAAAUAUAUAUGGAUAAAAUAUGAAUAAAGAUUUUAUAAAAUAUUUAACGAAAUGAAUCAAAUAAAAGAAAAAAUGUUCAUGAGAGUUUUACAAUCCAAUGGCAAAUCCUUAGAGAGAAAGCAUUAUAAAAUCUAAGGUUUAGGAUCAAAGUCAAUCCACAACCAAAUUCAAUCUUAAGACCAAUAUUACAUCAGAAACUUAGAUUUUUCUUUUUUAAAAACAAAUUCCUAAAACCAUAAAGUGAAUGAGAUUAAUUACUGGUUUAAGGUUUGACUUUGUAACCCUUCUUACUCUUUGUAGCUUUGUUUUGAGGGAAGAUAACAUAGAGAAGACCAUGAUAAUUAAUGAUCAAGAGUUAACAAGAAUCACUAAUAUCGGGUAAUAAUUUACUAUAUCAUUCUCUAAUACAACUUUCAAAAAUAGGUAAUGGUUAAUUAUUAUUUUCAAUUUUAUUCGAUCAAAAGCCUAUAUCCAUUUUUGUAGAUUUGACAUUUAGAUUUGUUAAUAAUAGGAUCAAAUUAUAGUUACUAAUAAUCAAGGUCUUUCCAAGAAUCAUUAGUAUCUUGACAAGAAUUCUUUAUAAUUUAUUUAGGGUGAUCUCACAUAGAAGAUUUAUUCCUAUCAAUUAAAUCAUGAAAACAUAAAGAAAACCAUGACUUUUCUGUGUUCUUGUUGUUCUACUUUGGAUUCUUCACCUUCAUGUUAGCAUUUUCAAAUCAAUCAAGUUAACCAAACAUGGUGGAGGAUUUCUCCUCACAAAAAAUGUUUGUUUGCCAAGAAAAUAAAAUAGAAAGAUUGAAAAAAAAGAAAAGAAAAGAAAACCUAAAACUCUAUUAAGAAUUUCAAGAUGAGAGAUUGAUCUUCCUCUCUUUGUUCUUUUCCAAAUUAAUAACUUCCUAGAAAACUUAACAAUUGAGUUUUUAUAGUUUCUAAAAAAACCCAACACAUGACGUGUUCCUAUUGGUCACUUAUUUUACAAAUAAUUACCUAAAAAUGACUAAACAAUAAUAAUAAAAUCAUGAUUUCUAGUCAUGUGGGGCUCACUUAAAGUGAAUAGAGUGCCCAAGAUGCAAUUCAUGAGGUGGAGAAGGUGAAACAUCAAAGUGGCAAUGUGUGAUUUCAAAAUUGGGGUUAUUUCAAAAUAAAUUUUGAAAUCAUAAGUUGAAUUUCAAAACAUUUGGAAAUGAUCCUUCAACUUUACUCAAUUUUCUUCAAAUGACCAUAACUUCUUCGUUUAAGCUCUGAUUAGUACAUUGUUUGAAGCAUUUGACUUUUGACCUCUCAAGCUUCAAAAUGAUAUAUAGCUUGUAUAAAAUUAAUCUCAAUAAUUUCUCCAUAUUUUACCUCAAAAUAGAAGUACGUGCUGUUGCUAAAUUUUGAGUUCUAAAUUUCCCUGUGAACUUGAUUGCAUUUACUUCAAACAUCCUCUAUUAUGGUUGCUUGCCCUCUAUCUCACUCCAUAAUAUUAGUUGCUAGUAUUUUAUACCUAUGAGUUACUCAUCAUGCCCUUGCUUGGGCAUUUUUUGGUUCAUAAGGUCCAAGUCGCUCAAUUAUGCAUGUAACCUCUUCUACUUCCUUGGUUGAUAAUGACUUUUGCACUUAUCAUUUUUUUCAUUCCUUAAAUCUAUAGUUAGGCUUAAAAUAAAAGUUAGAUUGAUAACUAGGGUCUUAACAUCAAUUUGAAUUAAGUUUGAUGAUUUAAGCAUUUUAUAUUACAUAAAUCAUAUCAUAUAUGUGCUAUUGGAGCACAUAUUUUAGCUCCAAUCAUGUAUAUCAAUGACAUAAGUCUCAAGUUGAUUAUUGAGUACCAUAAGCCCUAUUAGAGAAAACUCUUGUGGAUAAGAUUGAGUAAGCCGGAUUAAUUUUUGUUUAUAAAAAAUAACAAAUGAAUCACUAGAAUUUAGACAAACCAUAAAGAAUCAACUUAGUGUUUACCUUGGUGAAACGACUAUUAAGCUCUUGAAGUUGCAUAUCUAUAACAACAUAGAAUGACUCUAGUGUUUUGAAAAUUGGACCGUUUUGGCCCGUCCAACCAAUCCAAUUGUUGAUUGAUGAACUUUCUAGUUCGGUUUGGUCUAACUAUUCAAUGCUACCUCCUAGCUAUUCCCUCCAUUUUUAUCAUUAAAAAAGCACAGAUGACCUUAAACUCAUUAAAUGAGUUGAGACACCACUCGGCUAGAUCCCACUUGUUGCUUCAUAUAGCAAAAAAAAUGAAAUAUUUUUUUUACUAAAAAAAUUAUAAUAUUAAAUAAAAAUAAUAUAAUAUUUUUUAAAAUUAUAAAAUUAGUUAAAAUUAAAUAAUUAAUUUUUCUUUCAUUUUCAAUAUAUUCACAUUUAAAUAUUAUACAUAUUUCAUUUAAUAAAAUUUAAAAUAUGAAUACAUUUAUAGUUAUGCAUAAGAUAAAAAUGAAAUAUUAUUGAUUUUUAAUUUAUUUAUAAAUUUAUUUAUAUAUUUUUAUUUUUAAUUUUAAUAAUUAAUAAUAAUAUAUUUAUAACAUCACCAGUUCGACCGAGGUUCAACCACAGUUCAACCACCAAUCUUACCAAUGAGCUAUGAAUCAGUAACUUUUCAGAUUCAAUGAUUGGUCUGAUUUUGAAAAAAUUGAAUAACUCCACUUGAUAAUAAUGUAAAUAUGUAAUUUCAUGAGCUUUACGUCGUGGUCUCCCUUGAGUUAGAAAUACAUAAUCCAUGUUUGGAAUAUCAAUGUUAUGUUUUUUCAUAAAAACAAGAAACUCGAUCAAAUAAGAAACCUUAACCAUUUUCUCUUAUCAUUUAUAAUUGUUGCUUACAUACUUUGACCAAAGCCAUUACAUUAACAAUGUCUUGAUCCUUCCUCUAUAAGGCUUAUGAUAAUUCACUUGUGAUUCCCAAUAUAUAUAUAUAUAUAUAUAUAUUGUCAAAUGUAACUUGAAAUCAAAGUUAAAUGAUUGCAUCGACUCUUUUACUUCAUAUUUUUUCUUGGAAUUUGAACCAUCUUCCACAAUAAUUGCAAGUUUAUAAUAAAAACCUUAGAGAAAUCCAAUUUCUAAAAUGUCUUUGAAGAAAUUUGACCAUAUAAAGCUUAGGUUUUUUCACAAAACUAUUUUCAUCCAAAUUUCAAAAAUUUAAAAUUGAAUUAGGUAUUUAGAUGAAUUUAGGUGCUUAAAUAAAAAUAUGAAAUGCAAUUCUAAUUUAGUGCACUCAUAUUCUUACAAUGAAAAAUCUUAAUGACUAAUCUUAAUAAAAUUUCUCUUUAUAUCAUAAUGGAGUUAUACAACUUGUAGUCGAGGGUUCUAUGAGGCAAAAUGAUGGGUUCAUUUAUAAGAGUAAAAUUUGGGAAGUUAUGAAACAAAGUGAAAUAUCAUAUUGAAUAAUGUGACUAGCAUGCGUAAAAUUAUUAAUAAAAAUAAUAAUUUGAUGUAUAAUUUUUUUUUAAAAAAACCUUAAGCCAUAUGAGAGAGAAUCAAGGAAAACUAAAGAGUAUGUUAAGUUAGGAGUCUGUUGCUCUAAUGAGUUGAUUCUAAUAUGUAGUUCAUCAAUACAGAAUUUAGCAAUCUAAGAUUUUGAAAUCUAAUUCUAUGACAAUUUCCUAUGUGUAGAAUGAAUGCAAAAAAGCCAUGAUAGAUAGUGCUAGAAUAGAGCUAGUUCCAAAGUUUUAAGGUUUAAAGUUCUUAAUCAAAAUUGAAAAUGAAUUUAGAAGUGAAGUUUGAAAAGAGGAAAUUAAACCAGAUUGUUCGUUGUCAUUUUUAGUUUUUGAACCAAAAAUAAAAAGAUUUAAUAGCUGCAUAGUGGUCAGGUCAUUUUCAUAGGGAACUUUAGAAUAAUAGUUCUAAAAGUAUGAGGUUUUAGGGUGUGAGUCUUGGAUAGAAGCCCGAAAAAUGAUUUUGAAAAAAUGGAAGGAAGGGAACCUAAAAACUAAAAAUGAAAAACAAACUCCAAGAACAAAAAUUUAUUGAGAUUCCUUAUCUCAAGCUUAACUCAUCGACAAGGCUCUAAUCCUAUGCUUGUAGCUUUUGGAACAAGCCUAGGAAAGAGGUACUAGUUGACAGGAGCACUAACCAUCUUAACAAAGAUCAACUUAGUUCAAUUGCGCUCUUUUGGAUACUUACAAUCAGGUGAUUUACAUGAGUUCCUUUUCAUGUCAAUAAGCAUGUUUUUAGUUUAUAGAAUUUUUGCAAUGAAGUGCAGGUAUGUGGCCGAGGUUGCUUGACUUGCAACUCUCACAACCAACACAACAUAUCCUUGGUAUGUGGCCAAGGAUUAUAUUCUUUUAAUUUAGAGAAGUAGAGAACAUACCUUUGAUUUGAUGUUCCUAGACUGUUUCCAAUAUGAUGAAUAUGUCAAAAAACCACUAUAGGAGCCAUCUACUUAGUAUUUUUUUACCUGAUCUCAUCUUCAAGGGUUUAGGGAUGAGAAAAUGAUGGGUGUUUCUCUCUAGAAGACAACUAAGGUUUCUCACUUUAAAGGUUGUUUGGAAAAAUGACAAGAAGAAGUCUCAAACCCUAACCCCCUUAAGAGGCAUUUAUAAGGCGUCCUGUGAACUUAAGUGACUUAACCCCAAGUUGGGUUUGGUCAUCUAAACUAACUCGGGGCCUAAUUAAUUAAGUAACUAUAUUGGUAUCCAAUUAAUUAAUUAGACCUGUCCAAAAUGACAAUUCAUAAAGUUUAGUGUAACCUUACAUUUUUAUGAAAACACCCUUCUGCACACUUAUUUACCUAAAACCUAAAAUCCUCAAAACAAAUGUGCCACAAAGAUUUGGGAGCUCAAGUAGGACUAUUGUUGCCCAUAGGAAAAUACUGGCUUUCUCAAGGUCCAAUUUUGAAGUUGAUUCAACAUUUCGCUAAAGAGAAUCAAUUGCACUAUAGUAUCCUAUGUAAUUACAAUGGGCUGAAAGUCAAGUCGUGUCUUACUAUCUACUACAUGAAAAACUCCCUAUAAAUUAGUGUUCAUAAUCUAACAUGGUAGUAUUAUCAAUCUAUCAAGAUUAAAUCUUCAAUCAUUAAGUUACAAAUCCACUUAUUAUGUGAUCAAAUUAACAUACUCUACCUCUAAGAAGCAUAUGUUAAAUCCUAUUAAAGGAAUUACUAUUGUCAUAGUCUUCCUAACUAGAUGUCCUUUGGAUCACUCAAAAAGAUACACUGUCUUAAUCUUAUGAGAUAUCAUGGUGUCUCUAUUAAGAUUAUUUUUUGUCAUUAACAUCUAUCAAUAGUGGCCAAAGUCAUAAGGAUAUAUGACUACAUUAGGGUCUUACUCAUAGAUCAAAACGUUCUAUUAAUUUUGGUACAAAGUCAAUAUACUCCUAAGGUUAAGAGUACAUGUAGUAAAGUAGCUUGGUGAAUCAUGACAACCAAUAACCUUAUAUUAUAAUUCAUUGUAGGUCUUGUCCAAUGUGUAACUGAUCAAUUGAUUCUUGAAGUUAUGAUUUUCUAGAAAACAAUUUCCAUAGUGAAUAGUUGUUGAGAUCUACUUUUCAUCAAGUUAGAUUGAAAACCUAAAUUCUCAUCUAAAUUGAUUUUAGAUUUAGCUUUAAGUAUAAACCUAAUUUCUCUUCAAAUUGGGUUAUUUAAUCCAAGAGAUCAAUUUAAACUAUAUAUUCAAUUAAUCUUAAAUCAUCUUCCAAUGAUUCAUAUAAUGCAACUAUUCGAUCUCAUUAAAUCUAGCUUUAAGAAUUUAAUGAAUCAACCUAGUUUGCAAUGUAAUAGUCAUUCAAGAUAGUUUGAAGAGAAAAAUCCCCAAAUUUCAAUUAAUCAAUCAAUUAGAUCAAAUUACUUUUGCAAUUAAAGCUCAUUUUUCUAAUUCACCAUAGAUUUUGCCUUUAGAUCCUCAUUUCUUUGAGAAAAACGAGAUUUAGCCUCUCAUACUUGGAAAUUUGGUCUCACAAGGCAUGUUUGGCUAGUGAAAAAAUAAGAAAAAAUGAAAGAAAAAAAGAGAAUUUUAUUAAGAGAGAGAAUCUAGAAAACUCUACAGUUAAAAGUUUUUUAAUGAAAGAUUCAAGUUUCUAUUUAUAAGCGAAGGUCAAGUGGACACUUGGCAUCAUCUAAGAGCUCUUUUGGAAGCUUUCCCAUUCAACAAUCAGGAGUUUAACAACAAAACAAUCAUUUCACAUAAGCUCAGCCAAUUCACACAAAGAAAACUAAUUUUGCAUGGUUGUGCGAAAUCAAUGGAGCAGUAACAACAACCAUAGCUACCUAGACCAUUUUGCAUGACUAUGAGAAAUUUUUGCAUGAUCAUGCGAAAUCAACUUGCAAAUUCUCCCUGGUCUGUAACACAAAUCCACAUUCUGGUCCAUUUUGCACACUCAUGUGGAAUUUUUGCAUGAUCAUGCGAAUCUGCAACAGUUGAUUUUUGAGCUUCCCCUUGUCAUUUAUUCCAUUUCAUUAUUUUGAUUCCACCUUAACUACCUCCAAUUAGCUCAAAUCUCGGUCCAAACCAAUUGCAUUACUUUUUUUUAUUAUGCAUUUGGAUCAUCAUCAACAUUAUUUGUUCUCUUCAAUUCGAUUAAUCUCUUUUGUCACCAAUUUGUCAAAAUCAUACCUUGAAAUGACUCCAAAACUUCAUAGAAUUUGUAGUAACUCUUGCAAGGGCAACAACAUAUUAAUUGAGUAUUUUAGGCAUAAUUACUACUCAAAAGAUGUGAAUCUCAUGAGAAUUAUUACCUAAAAUAUGCUUUUUUUGAGUAGUAAUCACUAAUUGUACACAUUAGUGCACUCACCAUGGGAAAUCCAUCCCAAAGGCUAAGAUAGGCCAUCUCUUCAAUUAGGAGGUAGUGUACUAAAAUCUCCACUAGAUUGCCCAAAUCCAUGAACCGACUAUGAACAACUAAUCAUCUUGUAAGGAACUAAGGACUUUUGUCCUUUAUGCAAUUCCUAAUGGACCCAAGCCAUUUACAAUGCAAGUGAAAUGGGGGUAUAUGCUUACAUAACCAAUUUAUACAAAUAGGAUAUUAAAAGAAAACAAAAAUAUAAAUAAAUAAAUUUAUUAAUGAAUCUAAAAUCAUUACAUCAUGUCAUAAUUUUUAGGGCUCUAUCCUAACAAAUAUAUCAUCUAAUAAAAUUUUUGCAUCAAAUGUUCACACAAAAAUAGUGCAUCAAAUACACCAAACCCACCAAAACUAAAAAAGAAUACACACCAAGACAUAAUUUAGAAAUGUUAAGUGUCUCAAGAGUGUAUACUUACAUUUCAUAUUCAUAAAACUAACUAUAAAAUGACAUAAGAGUCACUUCAGAAACCUAAAAUUUUCACUUCCAAUUAAAGAAAGGCUUGUCUUUAAAAGUGUAUGGUACAAGAGCCACAUCCAAAACCCAAAAAUAUUGAUUACCUCAUGCCCUUCUACUUUUUUUUCUUUUUUGUUCAUAUCAUCCUUCUAAGAGUGUAUACUUAUAUUUCAUAGUCUAAUGAACUUAAGAGAUUUUAUUAAAAAUAAGGAUUAAUUAAUGUUAUCAUAGAUAAACGAAUUCCCAAGUAAGUUCUAUUUUUUUUCCUUACUUCCCAUUUUAAUGUAAAAACAUACUUUGAAGAAUGAGUGAUUUGUAUGCAAAAUAAUGAUAUUUCAUAAGCUCAAAAAGAAUAUUUUUGUAAAGAAAAUACAUAAAAAUCAGUCAGCUUAAACCUAUAGUUGAGGUGGUACCCUCUUGGGAAAUAAUUAUGGAAUAUGAUGAGAAUUGAUAUAGAAAUAAGAGUAGAAACUCUUGAGAACAACUUAAAGGAAUAAACAAAGAGAAUAUCAAGUAAAAAUUAAAGGAAAAAAGGGAAGCUAGAAUUUUUUUAGAGUUGAUAUUGAAAUGUAGAAGCCAUUUCAAUACCUAUUUCAAUACAGUUUGAUAGUUAGCAAGGCACAACUUUGAUAGAGGGAGGAGGUGCUGAUUUCAAUUUGAUAGAUAUAACUUCAUUGUGCUUGACCCCAUUACGAGCUAGUAUAUAUAUAGCUCAUACUUGGGGACAAGAACUAGUAAUGGAGAGGGCAAAGCAUAAUGGAAUUAUAGCUCGUAGCCUAAGACUUUUUGAGCCCGAGGGCUUAGAGAAUGAAUUCCUCAAUCCAAGGGAUGGGCUAUCUAUCUAUCUAUCUAUCUAUCUAUCACUACUACAAAAAAUGUAUUCAAUGACGUUCAUUUUCUUGACGCUUGUAAAAAAUGUCAAGGAAUUGUAUUAAUCAUGACACUUAUAGAAAUUUGGCUAACAAGGACGUUUCUUGAAUAAAUAUAUUGACGCUUAUGAAAUUUACCUAAAUAUUGGCGCUUCUUCAAAGGUUUCAUUGGCGCUUUAAAUAAGAUGAUGCUUUUUUGGAGUGUCAUUGUCAACUAGAGUAAAAUUUGCCAACCUUAACACUUGUAAUAAAUGUCAUUAUCUCUAUGCCUAUAUAUACACUUUUAUUUUCCCAAUCUCUCCCAUCUCGCAAACCAUCAAUAUCAUAGAUAAGAACCCUAGCCUUGCAAUCUACCAAAAGUAGCCACAACAAAGAUGACUGAUGAACUCAAUGGCAACCAGCAGCCACGACAAAGAUGACUGACGAACUCAAUGGCAACCAGUAGACACCCAUUUGUAGCCUUAUCGGGGACAACAACAACUAGGUGGAACGCUCCUUCUACUAUCAAGUCAAUAACCUCUCUGAAUAUUAUUGGCAAGUUGAAUCUCUAUGUUUACUGGGUAUUGUGAUGAUUUUUCACCAGAAAACAACUACCACAAACAACCUUCAUCACUGGAGAAAUCUAGAACGAAGAGGCCCUAACCUUUUUCAUAGAUGAUCUCUAGUAGUGAGAUUCCCUAACUGAUUUGCCGUAUUGGGAACUCCUUCAAAUAAUCAGCAUAAGUAAAUCCCUUUUCUGAAGGUAGAACUUCUAUAAUUUUUUUUUUUUGAUGGUGUCACAGCCUUCGCAAUUUCGUACUCGAGAAAUCAAAGUCUCUAUUGCUUGGUUAUUUUAAUUUAUCCUUUUCAUUUCUCUAUUCUUUUGUGGUUUUGUGUUAAUUUUUUCAUUUAUUAUUAAGAAAUCCAAGUAAUAUCAGGAAGAUAUAAUUUGGAAUUGCAAUCUUCCCAAUUCAACCCUAAUCCCCUGUUUUGGUUGUAUUUGAGGCUCCAUUAGUAUUAUUAUUAUUAUUUUGAAAAAAGAAUUCAACUUUAGUGUUUUGUUGAGCAGUAGAUGACAUUUAUCUUGCUAUGACUUUUAAUAAUUUCUGGGAAGCAAGCAAAAGCCUAUUCUUAAGAGCAACCAUUUUCUUGACCAUCAGAUUAAACACUUGUCUCUGCAAAUCGACAACACUCCUGAUUGUUGUCAGGUUCCUCCUUUUUUUUCUUGCUGCUCUUCCACUGUUUGAAGAUUGGUCGCAUCUAACCCUGAUAUAUGUAUCUAUAUGUGUUAUAUCAUUAUUUUUAAUUUAUUUUUAUUUUUUCUUUUCUGGUUUAUAUUCCAUGUUUAUUUCCAAUGCUAAUGCCAGGUAGUCUAGCCGGUACAUGUUGGGCAUUUUUUCAAAAAUCCAAAAACAGAUUGAUUGGAUUCUGAAAAAAAUAAGAGAGUAAAAAAAAAAAAGACAAUAGAACACAUUUAUGGUGAUUAAGGCCAAAGAAUGAAUUUAGACAGGUUAUCAAUGACAAUGGAUCCCAGAGAGCAAACUGCUUUGAUACUAUGAUGUGAGAAAUUCUAAAACUGUCUUACUAAUUCAAGAAGAAAACAAAUAGCACAUAUAUAUAUAUAUGGUUACAUAAUCCUAUUUAUGAAAUUCAAAAUUUAAUUGGAAACUGACUUUAUCAUUGGAAACUAACUCUAACCAUCCUUAUAAGUUAGGAACACUCCUAAUAUAUAGAAAGUUUGACUUAUCAUAGCUAUACCAUAAUUUCCUAAACUUAAGGACCCUCUAUCCUUCUUUACCCUUCGUCAUCCUUUUAAGGAUCAGCACACAUGGUAGAGAAGAGGUGACCUUAUAUUGGCUGUCCAAAAGAUGGCAUGGAACAAAAAUAAAAGCGGCCAAGAUGGUUGAGGAUAUUUGACAUGAGAGACCGAAAUACAAGUAAGAGUGUGCGUGUGAGUGUUAACACACAUGGUAGAAAAGAUGUGUCCUUUUACUGUUUCUCCAUUUAACUUAAAGGUUACACUAAACAAAAACAAUAAGUUUAGGAUAUCUGACACAAGCUACCAAUCUGGAAAAAAAAGAAAAGGAAAUGGAAGUAGGAGAGUGCAUAUGAGUGUCACAUGGAUGGAGAGAGAGAGAGAGAGAGAGAGCAACUAACAAUUGAAACUGUUAAAUCUGGUGAGAAAAACUUUGAUAAUUCUGGUGACAAAAUGAGAUCGGAGAUACAGAGAGCGUCUCUUGUUUCUUCUGUUUCUUAUUUUCUUCAUUCAUUGGCAAAUGACACUCAUGAUUAAAAUCUAAAAAUUCUUUCCAAGACUUAAAGAACCAGAUGCUUUUUUACAUGCUCACUGCUUUAUUGAACACAAAUGAAAAAGGAGUAGCAGUAUCCAGAACAGGGAAUCCAGCCAAAAAUGUGGAAGAAUUUUAUAUAAUACUAACUAUAUAAGUUUCAGACCUUUAAAGGAUCCUGGUAAGGGCUUCCUUAUUCCAUAAUAUUUAUGUAACAUAUUUUAUGCAAGAUAGGUUUCAUCUUUGCCGGUUGAUAAUUUUCGUCUACUUAUUUAUUUAUUUAUAAUAUGUUUAUAAAAAAAAUUAUUUAUUGAUAAUAGGGAAUACUUAUCUAAAUAAUUCUUUUUUCUAAAAGACAUGCUCAAUAUUCAUUUUUUAUUUGGAGAUGUGAUCUUAGAAAAUUGGAGUUAUGGCUUGGGCCUUUGUCUCUAUAUUGAAGUAAAUUAAUGAAUGGAUAAAAAUAUUGUCUCUGAACUGUAAUUUUGUUCCCUAAAGGCCAAGGUAAAAAGCUAGAAAAUAUUGGUCAACAUGGCCAAUUACUUAAACUGCUAUUUUGAAAACCUUUCUCCAGACUGCAAUAGUCUCUUAACUGCUGGCUGGCACCAUCUAUUAUUAAUCAGGAAAAGGAACUCAUGAGUGAGAUGAAAAAACAUUAUCCACUACUUUACUACUUUCUGUAAAUCAUGUUGAAAAUAUUGGUGGAAUCCUUCAAGUAUGAAUCCUCCUAGGUGUGUUUUUAUUUGUUUUUUUUUGCUUCUUACUGUUUUAUUUUAAAUUUUAUAUGUUGGGUGAUCUCUUAUUUUCUAGGAUCAUUAUUUGCUUCUCUAUAGGGUCAGAAGUUUUCGAUUCAAGGUCUUUUGGGAAAAGAAAUAUGCUCUAGUUCUUUUAUUAAUGGAACCUUGCUGAUAUCCCGUUUAGCACCAUAGGUGUUUGGUACAACUUGUCUUUAUUGCUUUGUAGGAUAAAGACUUUUCAUAUUAUAUGGUUCAAUAAUUGAAUUCCAAAUUGUUGCAGGACUACCAUCGCUUUCAUUUUCCAAUUUUUGGAACCAUUGAGCAUUUUGUUGAUGUACCAGGAUGCUUAUAUACAAUAUGUGCAAUUAAUAUCUGUUGAAAUUCAUGUUUGUUUUGCAAACUGUUUUUUAUUUCUUCAAAACUUCCCUAAUCUUUUACUUCAUUUCUUUCUGCUAGGUUUAUCCCAUUGCUGUAAAUAGCAAGUAUUGCAAUGUAUUCACAGAGAACAAGCGAGUAGUAUCUGUUGUUUCAACAUCUGAUUUUGGGAAGGUUUGUGGUUUCAGUCAUUUGCUGCUGCUUAAUUCACAUUUCUUGAAUUUUAUCUGUCUUUAUGUGACAAUAAAACAAGCUCCAGCCUUUUCUUUUUUAAAAAUUGUAGUUCUUUAAGCUCAACUCUCUUUUAACUUGUUUUCCAUAGAAACAUGGAUAGUGAUUCUUUGUAGCUGGAAAGACCUCGAUGGGGGAUCAUUGGUCUUUCUAAAUUUAUGAAUUUUUUUUCCAUACCUUUUCCAUUUGUUCUCUAUAUAAUUUUAAUGUUCCCUGGAUAUAUUCAAUUAUUAGUUGUAAUGGGUGUGGUGUUAUGCACUUAUUAUAUUUAGGCUCCUAUUAAUAAUAAUAAUAAUAAUAAUAAUAAUAAUAAUUGAGUUUGAUAAUAAUAAUAAAAAUUAAAUAAAUAAUAAUAAUAAUAAUAAUAAUUGAGUUUAAUAAUAAUAAUUAUUAUGAUUAUGAUUAUGAUUAUUAUUAUUAUUAUUAUUAUUAUUAUCAUUAUUAUUAUUAUCAUUAUUAUUAUGAUUAUGAUUAUUAUUAUGCUUAUCAUUAUUAUUAUUAUUAUUAUUAUUAUUGGACCCUUAUGGUUUGAGCUUUAUUUCUAUUGGAUUUUGGGCCUUAGUCUUGGGCUUUGGUAAUCAGAUUGGGCUUAAUGUUGCACUUUAUUGUAGCAUUAGGCAUUGAGCCCUCCACUUUGGAUAUUAAACUUGAAACCAUAGCUGUUGCUUUUGGAUUUCAUGAAUUUGGAUAUCAUUAUUAUUAUGAUUAUGAUUAUGAUUAUUAUUAUUAUGAUUAUGAUGAUUAUGAUUAUUAUUAUUAUUAUGCUGAUUAUUAUUAUUAUUAUGAUGAUGACUAUGAUUAUGAUUUUGAUUAUGAUUAUGAUUAUUAUUAUUAUUAUUAUUAUUAUUAUGGUUAUUAUGAUAUUUCUAUUUAAUUAUUUAUUAUUAUUAUUAUUUUAUUAAUUAAUUAUUUUUAUUUUUAUUUUUUUAUUAAUUAAAUUUUUUUUUAAUGGUUGUGAAUUGGGGGAAGAAGCUUCUAAGGCAAGGGGUUAAAUAUGUUUAUCCCCUUCUAACAUGGAAUAUAUGUUUCCCCUCAUUUUGUUAUGGGUAGUGUAUAUUAUUGUUAUUAUUAUUAUUUUUUUUAAUGGUUGUAUUAUUAUUAUUAUUUAUUUAUUUAUUUAUUUUUAAUGGUUGUGAAUUGGGGAAAGAAGCUUCAAAGGCAAGGGGUUAAAUGUGUUUAUCCCCUUCUAACAUGAUUUAACAUGGAAUAUAUGUUUCCCGUCAUUUUGUUAUGGGUAGUGUAUUUGUUGCCAUAUUAGGAAAAUAAAGUAUUCUAGUUUUGGAUGAUAUUGGUCUAUUAAAAUCCUUAUUAUUAAUAUUAUUAUGAUUAUCAUUAUUAUUCUUAUUAUUCUUAUUAUUAUUAUUAAUGGACCCUUAUGGUUUGGGCUUUAUUUCUAUUGGAUUUUGGGUCUUAGUCUUGGGCUUUGGUAAUUAGAUUGGGCUUAAUGUUGCACUUUAUUGUAGCAUUAGGCAUUGAGCCCUCCACUUUGGAUAUUAAACUUGAAACCAUAAGUGUUGCUUCUAGAUUUCAUGAAUUCGGAUAUUAUUAUUAUUAUGAUUAUGAUUAUGAUUAUUAUUAUUAUUAUUAUUAUUAUUAUUAUGAUUAUGAUGAUUAUGAUUAUGAUGAUUAUGAUUAUUAUUAUUAUACUGAUUAUUAUUAUUAUUAUUAUGAUUAUGAUUAUGAUUAUGAUUAUUAUUAUGAUGAUGAUGAUUAUUAUUAUUAUUAUGAUUAUUAUGAUUUGUUAUUUAUUUAAUUAUUCAUGAUUAUUAUUAUUAUUUUAAUUAAUUAAUUAAUUAAUUAUUAUUAUUAUUAUUUAUUUUUUUAUUUAUUAAUUUUUUUUUUAAUGGUUGUGAAUUGGGGGAAGAAGCUUCUAAGGCAAGGAGUUAAAUGUGUUUAUCCCCUUCUAACAUGAAAUAUAUGUUUCUCGUCAUUUUGUUAUGGAUAGUGUAUAUUAUUAUUAUUAAUUUUUUUUAAUGGUUGUAUUAUUAUUAUUAUUAUUAUUUAUUUAUUUAUUUUUAAUGGUUGUGAAUUGGGGGAAGAAGCUUCAAAGGCAAGGGGUUAAAUGUGUUUAUCCCCUUCUAACAUGCUUUAACAUGGAAUAUAUGUUUCCCGUCAUUUUGUUAUGGGUUGUGUAUUUGUUGUCAUAUUAGGAAAAUAAAGUAUUCUAGUUUUGGAUGAUAUUGGUCUAUUAAAAUCCUUAUUAUUAUUAUUAUUAUUAUGAUUAUCAUUAUUAUUAUGAUUAUGAUUAUUAUUAUUAUUAUUAUUAUUAUUAUUAAUGGAGCCUUAUGGUUUGGGCUUUAUUUCUAUUGAGCCCUCCACUUCGGAUAUUAAACUUGAAACCAUAAGUGUUGCUUCUGGAUUUCAUGAAUUCGGAUAUUAUUAUUAUUAUGAUUAUGAUUAUUAUUAUUAUUAUUAUUAUUUUGAUGAUGAUUAUGAUUAUUAUUAUGAUUAUGAUUAUUAUUAUUAUUAUUAUUAUUAUUAUUAUUAUUAUUAUUAUUAUUAUUAUGAUUAUUAUGAUUUUUUUUAUUUAAUCAUUUAUUAUUAUUAUUAUUAUUUUAUUAAUUAAUUAUUUAUUAUUAUUAUUAUUUUUUAUUAAUUAAUUUUUUUUUAAUGGUUGUGAAUUGGGGAAAGAAGCUUAUAAGGCAAAGGGUUAAAUGUGUUUAUCCCCUUCUAACAUGGAAUAUAUGUUUUCUGUCAUUUUGUUAUGAGUAGUGUAUAUUAUUAUUAUUAUUAAUUUUUUUUAAUGGUUGUAUUAUUAUUUAUUUAUUUAUUUAUUUAUUUUUAAUGGUUGUGAAUUGGGGGAAGAAGCUUCAAAGGCAAGGGGUUAAAUGUGUUUAUCCCUUUCUAACAUGCUUCAACAUGGAACAUAUGUUUCCCGUCAUUUUGUUAUGGGUAGUGUAUUUGUUGCCAUAUUAGGAAAAUAAAGUAUUCUAGUUUUGGAUGAUAUUAGUCUAUUAAAAUCCUUAUUAUUAUUAUUAUUAUUAUUAUUAUUAUGGUAUUAGUAGUCACUUAUUUGUUCAUGAAGUGAUUAUAGAUCCUAUACUAGCUUUGUUGAACUUUGAUUUUCUAUUACUCCAUUGCUUAAUGUAAAUUGAGUUAGUCGAUAUUUAAAAAUAAGCCCAUAGCAUAUUUUAUUUUAAGAAUAACUAUUCUUUAUAUAACCACAUAAUAAUUGGCAUGUAUCAUUUCAAAAUUUUCAAUGUUAUUUCACUUACUUCAUAUUUCAAAUUUUUGCAUCUACCUUGUAGAUGGUUUUUAAUCUUCACUAGUGUUAAUUUGAAGAUGUAGAGUUGAAGAUAUGGAAUAGGGAAAUAAUGGCUCAUAUCUAAUAAUAUAACUUGAUUUGAUAGGUUAGAAAAUGUGAGUUGGCCAUAGGGACAAAGGAAAAUAAAGUGAGUGGCGGAACAAUUAUACUUGAAUGUGGUCCCAACUAUCUAGUAGUUGUUGAUGUUCCUUAUGAUGCAAGUGCACCACUUCCCAUUCCUAUUCUUGGACAAACUACUACUGUUGGGGCUGCAAUUGGUUACCAAGUUUUGUGGCCAGCUCAUUUGGUCAGCAUCCAUACUCCCGUCUUGGCAAGUAAAUUUAAUUACCAAGCUUUAUUAUAACCCCAUAUAUAUUCAAUUAACUACUUAAUUUGAUUUGUACCAUGGUUCUUAAUUAUACAGGCAUCUAAGAAAGGAAAGAAACAAACAGUAAAUGAAGUUGAAGUGAAAUCCAAAAGUGAAAAACCACAAGAUAUCAAGAAUUUUGAGGCAUUGGUUGGCCUUAUGCUUGCAACCUCGAGAGCACAACCUAUAGACUUCCCAAAUGAUGUUUUUGGUGAGAGUUUCAAGACCUUCCUAAUGAAAGAAGAUAUGGACAUGAUUAUAUCAUCAACAGAAGUAUCAUCCAAUUGUAUCUUAUACUACAUUUGGUGAGGGAUUUUAUAAUUUUUGAAUGACACUUCACACUCUUUUGAGGUAAAAAAUUAUUUACUAAUGACCUAUAUUGAUCGUUGAUAACUUGUUAUGUGAGGUUUAACUAGGCACUUGCAUAGAAAGUUGAUUGAUAGAAAGCAAGUUGAACGAUAUGUUUUUGUCAAUCCAGUAUUGGUUUUGAAAGCUGGAAUGGGAGAAGGAAGCAAAAAAAAACAGGUCAAGAGUUAUUGCAAAUCGACUAAGGAAUACAAAGCAUGCUGAAUAUAUGUUUAUUCCAUACAAUCCAGAGUAACCUUUUACCCCAAAUGUCAAUAUGGUGUAUGUAAGUUAGUUUGUGAUGUAUUAAUUUAUGGAUAAUAUGUUAACACAUCUGCUUUUUUUUUUUUUCCUUUUUAUUUAGUUUCCAUUGGGUCUUAGUGGCACUAGAGAUGAAGAGAAUGAUCACAUAUUACCUUGAUCCAAUGGCUUAUCAGCCAUGUGAUGAUUUUAAGGAGAUAGUUAACAUGUAAGUGUGUAUCUUCUCAUAUUUUAAUACAAUGCAUAGGGGUUGAAGAACAUUAUUAUUUUUUUAUAGGGCAAUUAAAAUCAACCCACCAUAAAAACAAAAAACAUCAAAGAGAGAGCUAACUUGGGUCAAAGUGGUUGUAAGUACUUAUUCAUUUAAAUUAAAAUAUAUUGUUUGACCACUUACUUUGUUACACAAAAUUAGGAAAUGGAUGGUUAUUAAAAUGAUCAUUGGGUAGAUAUUAAAGAAGUAAGAAUAUCAUUCUAUUGUUUGUUGUAAUUGUUGAUACUUUUAUCCUAGUGCCCAAGACAACCAGGUAGUGUGGAAUGUGGGUAUUAUGUGAUGAGAUACAUGAAGGAAAUCAUUGCUAAUCCAAACCAACUAACAACAAAGGUUUGUACUCAAUUCAAUUCAUUUGGUUGGUCAUUUUACUAUGGCAUUUAAGUGGUCAAUGAAACUUAAUGAAUGGUUUAUGUUACUCCAAUUCAGUUUGAUGGAAGAAAAUCAUUCAAUGAAAUGGAGAUUAAUGAAGUUCGCUAAGAUUGGAUUAUGCUAAUGACUCAAUUAAUCAUUACUCAUGCUUGAAAGUACCCCUUGUGACUUAUAGUCUAAUAUAACUUCCUAUUAUUUUAAAGAUCUAUUGAAUAUUUUGUGAAUGUUAUUUCUAUAUAUAAUGGUUUAUUCUUAGUCAUAAUUUUUUAAAUAUCUUGGUACUCCUAGUUGGCAGUGUUUUCAAUGUGGAUCAUCCAAUGGUUGCUCUAUUUGGAUUGAUGUGUAAUUGGCAAAUUGAUGGAUGAAGCUUAGUAGACAUGGUGGGGGUCACAACCUUUCAUCAUUUCCUCUUCACAUUCUUGCUAGUUGGAUUUAUUGAAAUCUCAGUAUUGCACUGGUACAAAAAUUCUUGCAUUUUAAAGCUCAUUUUUGUGAAGCCUUUAGCCUUAUUACAUGUGUGUGUAUGUAUUAGGAAUAUGUCUAUCCUCUACAAAAGCUUUUUGGGUAUUUGAGAUCACUUGCUUUAUAAAUUUCUUCAAUCUAAACUUGUAAAGGCCUCCUACUAAACUAAUGCACAGGCUUAAAGUCUAUAAUAUCAUGUACUUCUAUUUUCUUUGACAUAAAAAAUAAAAUAAAAUAAAUAGGAAGUUAGAUUAAGACUUCUUACAAAUUAGCCUAUGGGAAAAAUAACACUUUUUUCUCCCUAAAUAGGGCCUCUAGAGCUUCCUUGUCUAAGUAGGAUAUCAACUUGAAUACUAGUCCCUUAACUUGAAUACAAGUGUAGGAAAGGAACUAGUCAUUUUGACAUAAUAGUGUAACCAAGGUCAUCUUACUUUUAACCUAUUAAUGACUUUUAUAAAAAGAACCAUUUUGUCCAUAUGAUUUUUUUUUUUUUGUUGUCUUUGGUGUUAUUUUAUUCUUUUAAUCAAUAAAGUGUUGGCCAUGUAUAAUUCUUUAUGGAUUCAUUACAUGUUAGAUUGAAAAAUUAAUUUAAUAAUAAUGUUAUAGCUGAAAUUAAUUUCUCUUCAGUAGCAUUCCUACUUUAUUUAUCUAAAUUAUUGUAUUGCCCUUGGCUACCAAUUUUCUCUUAAAUUAAUAAGUAGUUUGAAUAUAAUAUGUUGAACAAACUUUUAAGAAUCUAAUUUGUUGCUAAAUUGUUUAUUAUAUAUUCUUCAAGUUGUACAGAAAGGCAUAGGUCAUUCUCUUCUGUACAUCACUAUUGCUCUUGCUUAUUCAGAUCUGAAAAUGAUUAGUGACAUGAAGAACACCCUGAAGCAGUUCAAAAUUUUGCCCAGAGAAUUUUGAGGUAACAUAUUUGGGUUAUUAUUAUUAGUUUUACAACAUGAAUUAUAACAUGAGCUAUACAAAAUCAAUUAUUGCAUUCAGCCCAAGUUUGAUAUACUAACAACAUAUUUUGAUUACCGUGGCUGCAAGGCAUCAUUCACUCUUGGUUAGAACAUGAAUGAUAACAAGAGUUGGACAAAAUUAAUUAUUGCAUUUAGCCCAAGUUAAAUAAAAUUAAAUAUUGCGUUUGGGAAUGCACCAGUAAUAGUUUAUUGUUUGUUUUCUUAAAAUCGGAAUAAGAGUUUCAAAAGUAUUUCAAAAUUUGGCAUAACAAUAUUAUUGGGGUUUGUUGACUUCUUCCAAUAUUUUGAAAUGUAUUGCAAUGAAAGAAAUAUAUAUAUUGGAAAUUUUAAAAAUUGGCAUAGACACAUUUCAUUUACAAAGUUGUUUUUUAUUAACUAUUUGUCAAUACUAAUAUGUAACCCUUUCAAUUAUUUUUGCAGAUUGAGCAUCUAGAAAGUGAGUUGCAAUCAUCUUUAUGCACUUUGAAGAAAAAUGAUGUAGAACUAGAUGCAGCAAAGGACCAUGAACAACUCAAUGUUGAAGAAGUUGUAAAAUUUCUGGUUUAUUAGACAACUUUUAAACAAAUUCAUAAUUACUUAUGUAUGAUGUUAAUAGGUAAAUUUUACUAGUGAAAAGAAACACCAGAAUAUUGCUACUUUUUGUCUAUGCAGUUUCUUAAAUUAAUUUUUUAUUGUUGAAUUAAUUGUUUGUGGAAACUUAUAAAACAGGGCAUAAUUAGGACAUUUCCUUUUCUGGCAUAUUACAAUUUCAAAUGAGAGAAUAUGAUGCUUUUUAAAAGCAUCAUGGUAAUUAGAUAAGGCAGAAGAUGACACUUUUCAUAAGUGUUAAGGUUAAGGAUACCAAUAAAAUGAUGCUUUUCAUAAGCAUCAACGUUGAGGAUCAAAGAAAAUGACGUUUUUUUAAGCGUCAACGUUGAACAUGCCAUAUAAUGACACUUAUUACGAGUGUCAAUGUUGUUCCUACCUGUACAAUGACACUUAUUACGAGUGUCAAUAUUGUUUCUACCCGUACAAUGACACUUUAUCGAGUGUCAAUAUUGACAUGAAUGAAAUUAUAAACAUAUGAUGACACUUAAAAAGCGCCAAGGUUUAAAAUUAUGACACUUACUAUGAGUGUCGUUGUUGAGUUGAAAAUAAUAUAGCGCUUCUAAAAAGCGUCAACAAAUGGCAAUUUAUAAGAUGACAGUCUAAAAUAUGACGCUUUUGAAAAGCGUCAUCUUAUAUCUAUCUUGACGUUUAAAAAACGUCAUCUUUUGACAUUUUCCUUGUAGUGUAUCUAUCUAUCUAUCUAUCUAUCUAUCUAUAUAUCUAUCUAUCUAUCUAUAUAUCUAUAUAUAUAUAUAUAUAUAUAUAUAUAUGUAUAAGUGAAGUGACAUAUUGAACGAAGCAACUAGCGUGUACCAAUAUUUUUAAACAUUAAACCAUAGAAGGAAAAUCAAGGGAAAUCUAGAAAAAGAGAUUAUGUUGAAAUUUCAAUAAAAAUUUUAAUGUAUUUAUUAUGUCGACUUUCCUUGCUUAAAGUUAAGUUUGGGAUUAUGAGUGUUUUUUGGAGGUGUUACAAUUUUAGCAUAAAUACUAGAUUUUUAUUUGCAAUUUAAUACUAUUUACCAUAUAAUAACAAACUUAGGUAUUUGGAAGUUUCUUUCCACUAAAAUUUAAUUUCGUUGACUAAUUUGAAGUUUCAAUAUUAAAUUGAUUACAUAAUUGGUACAAUUUGGAAAUUGUCUAAGAAAUAUGUGAUAUAAUACUAAAAUUUUGAUGAAAAUUUUAAUUUACGAACUUAUUAUAUUUUAAGCAUUUUUUCUUUUAUAUUCAUAUGAGAAAAUGGUAGACCUCCAAUGGCUCUAGAGGGACCUAUGACCAUGACUAUGAUGGAAAUUUGUAAGAAAGUUUUGGAGCAAAGAUUAAUAUGUGUCAAUAAAGGUCCUCAUUAUUCCUCUUUUUGUUAUGCAUAUGAUGGAUCCUCAUUUUUUUUUUUUUUUUUUGUGUCUAGAUGAAUAUACUUAUUUUGUAAUUGAUACUUUGUUAGACUAAGAGAGUAUUUGGUAAAACUUAAUACUUAUUAUUUAAUAAUUUAAGUUAACUUUAAAUUAAAUUAUACUUACGUUUUUUUAUUUAAAACUUAUUACUUAAUUCUUACUUUAAGUACUUAGUGACAUUAUAUUCAAUUGUUGAUAAUGUUUCAUUACUAAAGAUGUUUCCCCGUGAAACAUUUUUGUUAUUGAGGGUGCACACAUAAUUUCUUGUCUAUCCAAAUCCUAGAUAUUUUAAUAAUUAGGAGAGAACAAGUUUGUUAAAUCCCAAAGUGUUGUGAAGUGCCACUCUUUUGGUUAUUACACCAAAUUGGAUUUCUUUUUUGUUGGUUCGAAGUAAUGCUACUUUCAUUUAGCUAUUGUAGGGACCCCUCCCUCUGAGAACACGUGGCACGCAUUUUAUAGUGACACAUGGCACGCAUUGUCAUCCGAGUCACCCUCAUCCGGAUCUUCCUAUAAAGCACACAUGACGCGCUUUUCCUAUCCGAACUACCUCAAGGAAGAUCAAACGACACUUAUAAACAUAACAUCCGGACGGCUUACACAAUACAUCCGGAUGAUCAACAUAUGUCAUCCGGAUAUAAUUGUCCGGAUCAUUGACUGAAGUAAGGCAAGUCUUACACGUUAUCACAACAACAAGCCAUGGCCCACGUUCCGCCACCUGCAGGGUGAGAGGACAAGAUGAAGUGACAACAAGUCACUUCCUACGAUCAUUCCACAUGAUCACUUCCCACUUUCCACGAUCUCUGACAGUCGCAUCACCUACCACGAUCCCUGUCAGCCACCCGUAGGGUGAUGAUGGCCCUGUUUCCACCUAGUGUCAUCAUGACAACAUAAAAUAUCUCCCCAUCAUUAAUGAGAGGAACAGUGCUCCUGGAACUAUAUAUAAACCUUCACACAGAGAGGAAGGUAGCUGACGAUACCUAGUAAAAAGCCAACUGAUUAUCUCUCUCCAACCAUGGCUGACAAAACCAUCGGAGGGUGCGUCCGGACACCCUAUUCGGACGUCUUUGGCAGGUAUAACGACUGAGUCAAGAACCUAUAUUGGUUGAGGUCGCGCAUCCAUCCAUUUGGCAACUACGUGGAACACCAGGAGCGUGAGGCAUCAACAUUGGCGCCGUCUGUGGGAAAACAUUUUCAUUUUGAUUCAGUCACUAGCAAAGAUGGCCACACCUUCCCGAAGUCGUUCGUCUAGUAGGGGAGAGGAUGAUAAUUUUGAAUGGUGUCAAACCAUCGAAAGAAGACAGUUGGCAAGCGAACGUUAACUGAAAGCUCUCCUCCAGGAGACAGAAAGAUUGAGAGAAGAAAAUGUUGUACUGCGCAUCCAGGCUUCAACAUCAGGGCCUCCUCGACGUCAGCAUUCAAGAGGUCAAGUAGCAAACUUAAGGCCUCAACAAGAACCAGAAUCAAUAUAUCCUAGGACAACAGGAGCCAUCCUAGGAGCAUGCAACGUGAGGCCUCAUGAGCCACACACGCCUAUGCCCCGAGCUCCUCGUGAGGAAAGCUUAGACUCUACUCACUUUUCAGCAAAAAGACAAAGCGAUAGAAGACCUCAGUUGUCAAAUUCAAUGGGCGCAAGACUAGGCCCACAAGAGCCUGGAAGACCAAGGCCACCAGUAGCCACAACCUGGGCACCACGCCCUGACCCUAUGGUCACCCCCAUGGUGCAGAACGUGCACCCACAUCGUGACCCCAUGGUCACCCCCGUGAUGCGGAACGUUCAUUCGCACCCAGCGGUACAGCAAGCUGGGGGGAACCUCCCAAACGAGCCACCCAUCGGCUCCAUCAGCAGAAGGUUGGAUGACAUGCUCUCCACGCCCUUCUGCUCUCAUAUCAUUCAUUACGAGCCCCCAAGGGGAUUCCUCGUACCAAAAUUUUCCACAUACGAUGGAACCAAUGAUCCCUUCGAUCACAUCAUGCAUUAUCGACAGCUCAUGACGCUCGAUUUUGGCAACGAUGCACUACUAUGCAAAGUGUUCCCCGCCAACCUACAAGGGCAGACCCUCUCAUGGUUUCAUCGCCUACCUCCCAACUCUGUUGGCAAUUUCAGGGACCUGUCCGAAGCUUUCGUGGGACAAUACUUGUGCUCCGCUCGACACAAGCAAAAUAUCAGCACCCUGCAGAACAUAAAAAUGCAAGAUAACGAAUCCUUGAGGGAAUUUGUGAAGCGGUUUGGCCAAGCCGUACUUCAAGUGGAGGCUUGCAGCAUGGAUGCUGUCCUACAGAUCUUCAAGCGAAGCAUCUGUCUAGGCACUCCAUUUUUCGAAUCACUAGCCAAAAAGCCUCCUACGACGAUGGAUGACUUAUUCAGGCGUGCCAGCAAAUAUUCAAUGCUUGAAGACGACGUACGGGCAGCCACCCAGCAAGUCAUGGUUGCUGGGCAAGCAGCCAGGGGUAGCGCGAAAAGAAAUGCUAAACCUCCGGACCGGCCAAGGCCGUCUGACUGAAGGCAGGAAGGGCCAAGUCGCCCGGAAAGGCUACUUCUCACACCGCUUUCCAUAUCAUAUGAAAAACUUCUCCCAAUGAUCCAAGGCUUGUCCGACUUCAAGUGACCUAGACCCAUCGGAACGGACCCAUCCACAAGAGACAGUAGUAAGCGAUGUGCCUUCCACAAGGAUCAUGGUCAUACAACAGAGGCAUGCUGGUCUCUCCAGUAUUUGGUCGAGAAGCUCAUCAAGGCAGGACAUCUAAAGCAAUACGUCCGCUCAGACGCGGGAGGGAAAGUCACUUCCCAACAUCACAACCCUGAAGCCCCCAGGGCCCCAACCGUCCCCAAAGCCAUUAUAAACUAUAUCAACGGAGGCCCAUCUGACGAAGAGUGCAACUCUAGGCGAAAAAAGCAAAAAUUAUUGUGGGCCGCAUCAAUACGCGAACGCAUCAAUUCCAUCCGACCUGGACAAACUGGAGAGGGCCCUCGCCCCAUAGAUGGGACAAUCAUAUUCCCACCAGUAGAUCCCACCUGGACGCUGCAGCCACAUCGCAACGCCCUCAUCCUAUCCCUAGAAAUAGGGGACUUCGAUGUGAGACGUAUCCUGGUUGACCCAGGCAGCUCGGCCGAUCUUGUGCAAGCAUCAGUCGUUGGCCACAUGGGACACAGUCUCAUAGGCCUCGAAAACCCUGGACGAGUCCUGUCCGGAUUCAACGGAUCCUCAACCACAUCCUUGGGAGACAUAAUACUGCCGGUUCAAGCUAGCCCAGUUACUCUCAAAGUACAAUUCUCGGUGGCUCAGGAGUUGUCACCCUUUAAUGUCAUCUUAGGGCGCACAUGGCUACACUACAUGAAAGUCAUUCCCUCCACAUAUCAUCAAAUGGUGAGUUUCCUCACCGACGAGGGACAAAUUGACCUAUAUGGCAGCCAAUUAGCCGCUCGCCAGUGCUACCAGAUAGCACAAGAAGCAGGAACCAGCCAGGAGGAUGCAUCUCCCCCUGAACCCAGCCAUACACAUGACCAAUAGCAAUCAUUGGGUCCGGUGGACAAAGAUCCCCCGACAGCAGAUCCCUUACAAACAAUCCAAAUUUCGGAGGAAAACACUCACCUCACGAACAUCAGUUCCCUCAUGACGACCGAAGAAACUCAGAGCAUGCAAAAUAUUCUUAGACGGAAUCAUGACAUCUUCGCAUGGGCACAUUCUGAUAUGAAGGGAAUUCAUCCCUCUAUUGCAUCUCACAGGCUUAACGUCUUUUCAACUACCAAACCCGUCUGGCAGAAGAUUAGGUGCUUUCACCCGGAUAGACAAAAAGUCAUCCGGAAUGAGAUUGACAAAUUGCUGGAAGCCGAAUUCAUCAGAGAAGUAGCUUAUCCAGAUUGGUUAGCCAACGUGGUAGUGGUACCCAAAAAAAAAGGAAAAUGGCGGGUUUGCGUAGAUUACACCAACCUCAAUAAUGCAUGUCCAAAAGACAGUUUCCCUUUACCACGAAUAGAUCAAAUUGUGGAUUCCACUGCCGGGCAAGGGAUGCUCUCUUUCUUGGAUGCCUUCUCCGGAUAUCACCAAAUUCCCAUGUCUCCGGCUGACGAGGAAAAAACAGCAUUCAUAACGCCAUACGGUCUUUACUGCUACAAAGUUAUGUCAUUCGGACUCAAAAACGUUGGCGCCACUUAUCAGAGACUGAUGACAAAGAUCUUCAAACCUCUGAUAGGCCACACAAUAGAGGUAUAUAUUGAUGAUAUUGUGGUUAAAAACAAAACUCGAAAGGAGCAUGUUCUUCAUUUACAAGAAGUUUUUCACCUCUUAAGGAAGUAUGGCAUGAAGCUGAAUCCUUCCAAAUGCGCCUUUGGCGUAAGUGUUGGCAAAUUUCUGGGUUUUAUGGUCAGCCAAAGAGGAAUAGAGGUUAGCCCGGGUCAAGUCAAGGCAGUCAUGGAAACACCUCUCCUCAGGAACAAGAAGGAGUUGCAACGCCUCACAGGCAAGCUCGUUGCAUUAGGGAGUUUCAUAGCCCGCUUCACUGAUGAGUUGCGGCCCUUCUUCUUAGCAAUACGAAAAGCUGGAACACACGGAUGGACGGACAAUUGUCAAAACACUUUUGAGAAAAUUAAACACUGUCUCAUGCACCCACCCAUCCUAAGCAGUCCCAUCGCAAAAGAAAAAUUAUACAUGUAUCUGGCUGUAUCAGAAUGGGCAAUCAGCGCCGUUCUAUUCCGCUGCCCCUCACCCAAGGAGCAGAAACCAAUCUACUACGUCAGCAGAGCAUUGGCGGACGUAGAAACCAGGUAUUCAAAAAUGGAGCUAACAGCCUUAGCCCUCCGAAGCGCUGCCCAAAAGCUCCGCCCCUAUUUCCAAGCCCACCCGGUGAUCGUGCUGACCGAUCAACCCCUUCGCAACAUUCUGCACAAAUCAGAUUUAACCGGAAGAAUGCUGUAGUGGGCUAUCGAAUUGAGCGAGUUUGGAAUCAAAUUCCAACCCAGAUUGUCCAUGAAAGGCCAAGUAAUGGUUGACUUCGUGCUAGAAUAUGCCCGAAGGCCUAACCAAUACCAGGAAUCAAAUGAAAAAGAAUGGUGGACUUUGCGAGUUGAUGGAGCUUCACGAUCAUCAGGAUUCGGAGUCGGGCUUCUGCUACAAUCCCCAACCGGGGAGCACCUGGAGCAAGUCAUCCGGCUGGGAUUCCUUGCCUCCAACAAUGAAGCAGAAUAUGAGGCCAUCAUAUCCGGAUUAGACCUCGCCUUGGCUCUAUCCGUCUCCAAACUCCGGGUCUAUAGCGAUUCACAACUUAUAGUAAGACACAUCCAGGAGGAAUACGAGGCCAAGGAUGCACGCAUGGCGCGAUAUCUAACUAAAGUAAAGGACACCUUACAGCAAUUCACCGAAUGGACAGUCAAAAAAAUCAGGCGAACUGAAAAUGGGCGCGCUGACGCCUUGGCCGGUAUAGCUGCCUCCCUCCCUAUCAAAGAAGCCAUUCUGUUGCCUAUACAUGUGCAAACCGACCCCUCUGUCGUAGGAAUCUCCACUUGCAACAUCAUUGAGGCAAACCAAACAAACGACCAUGAGUGGACGGACAAUAUUGCAGAAUAUCUCCGGACAGGCACUCUACCCAGAGAUCCCAAGCAGGCACACAAAAUCCGGGUGCAAGCUGCUCGUUUCACCUUAAUUGGGGGGCACUUGUACAAACGAUCCUUCACAGGACCUUACUUUCGGUGCCUAGGGCAUUCAAAGGCCCAGUAUGUGUUAGUUGAGUUACACGAGGGAGUAUGCGGGAAUCAUUUAGGAGGACGAUCUCUGGCACAUAGAGCCCAUUCGCAAGGAUAUUAUUGGCCAACAAUGAAGAAGGAUGCGGCAGCCUAUGUCAAAAAAUGUGAUAAAUGUCAAAGGUAUGCUCACAUUCCACAUAUGCCGUCAGCAACAUUAAAAUCAAUCUCAGGCCCAUGACCCUUCGCGCAAUGGGGCAUAGACAUAGUGGGACCCCUCCCAGCUGCACCUGCCCAAAAGAAAUUUUUGCUCGUCGUCACAGAUUACUUCAGUAAAUGGGUAGAAGCUGAAGCGUAUGCUAACAUCAAAGACAAAGAUGUCACCAAGUUCGUAUGGAAGAACAUCGUCUGCCGUUUUGGAAUUCUACAAACUAUCAUAGCUGACAAUGGUCCUCAAUUUGACACAUCGCAUUCAGGAAUUUCUGUUCGGAGUUGAAUAUCCGGAAUUCAUACUCCACACCGCGUUAUCCUCAAAGCAACGAGCAAGCAAAAGCCACAAACAAAACUCUGAUUACUGCCUUAAAGAAAAGGCUCGAACAAGCCAAAGGGAAAUGGGUGGAGGAGCUACCUGGCGUCCUAUGGGCCUAUCGAACCACACCCGGACGACCAACAAGAAAUACUCCUUUCGCCCUCGCAUACGGAAUGGACGCAGUCAUUCCUACUGAAAUAGGUCUACCUACCAUCGGGACUGACGUUGCAGAGCAGAACGAUGCAAACACAGAGUUGGGAAGAAACUUGGAUUGGGCAAAUGAACUAAGGGAAAGCGCAGCCAUCCAGAUGGCAGACUAUCAACAAAGAGCAUCCGCCCAUUACAAUCGCAAAAUAAGGCCCACAAGCUUCAAAAAUGGUACGCUAGUCCUUAGAAAAGUUUUUGAAAACACUGCUGAAAUGGGCGCAGGGAAAUUCCAAGCUAACUGGGAAGGACCCUAUAUAGUGUCAAAGGCAAGUGAAAGUGGAGCCUAUCAUCUACAAAAGUUAGACGAAACUCCAUUACUUAGACCAUGGAAUGUGUCUAAUUUAAAACAGUAUUAUCAAUAAAAAAGCAAGUCAAAAUACAAAUGAGUAAAGAGAUGUUUUAUUCAUACGUAUAAAUAUAUGUACAACGGAGGUCUCCGGACCACAGAAAGUACAGAAAGAGGAUUACAGCAAAAAUUGCAAAAAGAGAAAAGCUAUCAGGGAGCAGGCUUGUCUAAAAGUUUCUUCUCUUUACCCGGAGGAAUUGAAGGGACAUCCCGCUUGAUACCAUUCUUCUUCUUACAGCAGCGAUAGCCGAAGAAGAACAUGUCAUCUACUUGCUUUUGGUAGUCCGCUUCAAGCGCCUCCCUGUCUGCAGCAAACUCUCCCUCUAGCUCCUCUUUUUGCGCUACCAGGCGCAACUGCAAAUCCUCCUUCUGCUUUUUUUCAAUCGAAGCCUCCGUCCGGAGUUGCCUCACCUCCCCCCUCAGCCGGGCCAUCUCAUCCUCUGCCUCAUGCAGGUAGACAACCGUUGACUCCUCCCGGCUCUUUGCCUCAGCCAAGUCCGCCAGGAGAGCUUCAUUGUCCUCUCGAACGGCGGAUAAGCUAGCUUCGGCCUCCUCCAGUCUCAAGCGCAGCUGGUCUUCACUAUUUUUGCACUGAGACGCGAAGGCCUUCAUAUAAUUAGUGGUUCGCAGCAAGUCAGUGAAUAAAUCGUGUUGUUGAGCCAUGCCGCGAAGACCACUCACCAGCUACAUACAAGCACACAAGCAAGAAAAGCAAAAUUAAAAGUCAUGCCAUAAACACAUCAAUAUGACAAAAGACAAUCAAGAAAUACACUAUACCGUUUCCACCACUUCGAACAUUUUUGCUUAAGGCAUGGCAAUGGUCGAGCCGGGUGGAAUCUGUUUCAGCUUCUCUUCCAACUCCGCAUAACUAAAAGGGCUAGCGGAGGUGCAAGCCGCAUCAUUAACAGGAUUCCCCCCCGAUGAGGCGUUAGAAAACAACUCUUCUUCCGGAUCCGGGGCCUCAACGUUUUCAGCUGGAUGGGUCUCUCCGGGUGCACCCUCGUCCGGGACCACCAUCGGGACGGCUGGAGUCUCAGUUGCCAUCUCCACCUCGCUCCCCUCUGGAUGAGCAUCUUGGGCGGAUGAGCAACUAACUUCAAUCUCUUGCAAUCGAUCUUAAAGUCGCCCGAUGAGUCCGGACUUUAGAUUGCGUGCCGAGCACGACCUCUUUGAA
Molecule: long non-coding RNA, 39940 nt
Filed under: Vitis vinifera (wine grape)
Lineage: Eukaryota; Viridiplantae; Streptophyta; Magnoliopsida; Vitales; Vitaceae
Description: long non-coding RNA (VVIN_LNC000219)
Source: RNAcentral